This 547-nucleotide ribosomal RNA is filed under the name uncultured bacterium. Its description in RNAcentral is "bacterial SSU rRNA". It matches the Rfam family "Bacterial small subunit ribosomal RNA", at positions 355 to 896 of the family's 1533-position model. The record is from RNAcentral.
UGGGGAAUAUUGCGCAAUGGGGGGAACCCUGACGCAGCCAUGCCGCGUGAAUGAAGAAGGCCUUAGGGUUGUAAAGUUCUUUCGGUAUUGAGGAAGGUUGAUGUGUUAAUAGCACAUCAAAUUGACGUUAAAUACAGAAGAAGCACCGGCUAACUCCGUGCCAGCAGCCGCGGUAAUACGGAGGGUGCGAGCGUUAAUCGGAAUAACUGGGCGUAAAGGGCACGCAGGCGGUUAUUUAAGUGAGGUGUGAAAGCCCCGGGCUUAACCUGGGAAUUGCAUUUCAGACUGGGUAACUAGAGUACUUUAGGGAGGGGUAGAAUUCCACGUGUGGCGGUGAAAUGCGUAGAGAUGUGGAGGAAUACCGAAGGCGAAGGCAGCCCCUUGGGAAUGUACUGACGCUCAUGUGCGAAAGCGUGGGGAGCAAACAGGAUUAGAUACCCUGGUAGUCCACGCUGUAAACGCUGUCGAUUUGGGGGUUGGGGUUUAACUCUGGCGCCCGUAGCUAACGUGAUAAAUCGACCGCCUGGGGAGUACGGCCGCAAGGUUA